UACGAAGGGGGCUAGCGUUGUUCGGAAUCACUGGGCGUAAAGAGCACGUAGGCGGUAUAGCAAGUUAGGGGUGAAAUCCCAGGGCUUAACCCUGGAACUGCCUUUAAAACUGCUAUGCUGGAGUCUCGGAGGGGAUGGUGGAAUAUCUAGUGUAGAGGUGAAAUUCGUAGAUACUAGAUGGAACACCGGUGGCGAAGGCGGGUCUCUGGGGCCGAAACUGACGCUGAGGAGCGAAAAGCGUGGGGGAGCAAACAGG
This 256-nucleotide ribosomal RNA is filed under the name uncultured bacterium. RNAcentral's name for it is "partial 16S ribosomal RNA". It matches the Rfam family "Bacterial small subunit ribosomal RNA", at positions 524 to 776 of the family's 1533-position model. The record is from RNAcentral.